This is a non-coding RNA of Zonotrichia albicollis (white-throated sparrow), 490 nucleotides long. Lineage: Eukaryota; Metazoa; Chordata; Aves; Passeriformes; Passerellidae. The record is from RefSeq and is a predicted model, not a curated record.
AUGUCAUAUCUGCAGAGCUUUGGUGCAAACAAAAUACAGCCAAGGAAGAGACCCUUUAUCACCGCCCCAAAUUCUCAUGGGAAGGACUUAAAACAUCAUCCUAACAGGACUCACGUCAUCAGCAUCCAGCAGGAGCUGACCAGGAACAUGGGAUUUACGGAAUGGAUCCGAGCAGUUGUGAAGUGCAUCGGUAUGGAAACAGAUAUUGCACAGCAGCACUGAUAAAGUUCAAGCCUGUAGCUGCUGAUAGCCAGAAUAAAAGGAUUGUUUAAUGCCAUGGCUAUGGAAUUUUUGUGUGAAUUUUCCGCUCUGACAUGAGGAGCUGUAGCAGUUCCUGGGUGCCAGCACCACUCUCACCUGCUGCUGGAGCCACCUGGAAGGCACAAGGCUCACUUGAAUGAUUCUGGGCAGGACCCUGAAUUUAUCACUUUCUGACUCAUCCCAGAGGACCUGGCUUCAUUUAGUGAACAGGACAGAUGUUUCUGAGGUU